UUUAGAAAUUAAACCGUAGACAGCGGGUGCGAAAGCUUAAUUUCCCGCCGAGGUACAAUAUAAAAUAUUGACCUUACACGUUUUACGGAGAACAUAACAGCUGAAACGGGUAAGGUUUUUUUAUG
This 125-nucleotide small RNA is filed under the name pig gut metagenome. Its description in RNAcentral is "Ribosomal protein L10 leader". It matches the Rfam family "Ribosomal protein L10 leader". Rfam says of the family: This family is a putative r-protein leader autoregulatory structure found in B. subtilis and other low-GC Gram-positive bacteria. It is located in the 5' untranslated regions of mRNAs encoding ribosomal proteins L10 and L12 (rplJ-rplL). A Rho-independent transcription terminator structure that is probably involved in regulation is included at the 3' end. The record is from RNAcentral.